This is a long non-coding RNA of Cololabis saira (Pacific saury), 1419 nucleotides long. RefSeq lists it as uncharacterized. The record is from RefSeq and is a predicted model, not a curated record. NCBI's taxonomy places the organism in Eukaryota, Metazoa, Chordata, Actinopteri, Beloniformes, Belonidae. The transcript is spliced from 3 exons.
UGACUGCUCUGAUGUUAUCUGAUUCAUGCUGCUGGAUGUCUUAUUACAACAUAUUUGUUUUAAGUUCAAUUAUUAAACCAAGCUUCCUGCACUUGCUGUGGCGACUCUGAGGACGGACAAUGCAGCAUUGACUGAGGGAAACCCCUGACGGAUGUCCACGCUCGGCGAUGGUCGGCCGGCCAAACAAGCCCUUUCUUCCUCCGAACCGAUCAAACCAAUCACGGUCAGCAGGGCGACUCUACUGGACCGUACAGGAGCCCGUCUGUGGAAGACCUGCCGGGUGGAUUCGGCCAAUCCUGAAGGCAGUCUUUCAAUGACCCGAGGACAUCUCCGGCUGAGGUCCAGCAUGGUUUCCCAGAAUCCUCUCUGGACCAACGAAGUCAUUUCUCCAUAGUCUGACUGAACUCCUCCCACUCAGACUGGAGCCCGCUGGGCCUGCUGGUUCCGGUCGUCUAUACUGGGUCUGGGUUCACCAGGUUCAACAGACGUAACUGGGCUGUUUACCACAUGACUGAAGUGAUUAUUAAGAUUCAGGAAUGUUUUAUCGUGUAAAGUUUUUCUAAAAAAAAACAAACUCAGUCAGUGUUUUGAGAAAACGUCCCAUAGUGAAGUUAAAGGGGACCUAUUAUGGAAUCUAAUACCUAUUUUAAACAGGCCUUGAAUGUCUUAAAAACAAGCUUUUGAUUGUUUUUGCUAAAUAAAUUAGAAAUUCAGCCUCUGAGCCAUGUCUUUAUCUUCCCAUUAUCUAACCUCAUUAUCUAUGCGGGAUUCUGAGUGGGCGGGGCUAUGAUAAUGAGGCUCUGUGCUGAUUGGCUGCCUGAAUGACGUGAUACACCGCUACGAAAAAAUGGCGGAAGCUCCUGCCGGCGGAGUUAGUUGUGUGCAUGGUUUCACGCAUCAGAGGCAAACCUAUGUAAAUCGCUCCCGUAUUUACGUAACGACAGGAGCAGAAUCUGAACGGCUCGUAGAUCCACAUCACACUGGACGGCUCAUCCGUGCGGCUGUACAGACACUGCAGAAUUUGGUUGCUUUCCUCCUCCUCUGAGUUGGCAGGCUGAGGGGAGACCACUUUAUAUAUGUUAAAGCAAGAGAAAACGUGUUUUUCAUAAUAGGUCCCCUUUAAUAAUUUUGACCUUAGCUGGAGGUCAUUAUGAACCACAUGCAGUAUUUCAUAGUUCAAUUUUAUUCUGAACUAUCAGGGAGAAAAGAAACUGAAUUCUGGAGGGACGCUGAGUGUGUUUUUGAGAAAUGUUAGAAAUUAUUACAGUAAAUAAAUACAAAUCCGGCUGUUCAGCAGUAGCUUUAUGUUGGAUCUUCUCUUUUUUUAGUGAUAAUUUAAAACUAUACAGAUCCAGAUGUAUUAGGUGUGGAUGUAUUUGAUCACUGACACUAUUUUUAUUAUAGCUUUACUCUUUUUUU